Pantherophis guttatus is the source of this 710-nucleotide long non-coding RNA. RefSeq lists it as uncharacterized. The record is from RefSeq and is a predicted model, not a curated record. Lineage: Eukaryota; Metazoa; Chordata; Lepidosauria; Squamata; Colubridae.
ACUAUAGGAGCAGGGGAUUUUACCAAUAAGGUGGUGGGUUAAUCCUGAUCCAGGCAGAACACUUGGUCGUCACUGUGGCCAAAGUGGCAAAGGGGUUGAUAGCCAGAAAGGGAGUCCUUAAACCCACUUCAACUGUAGGCAGCUUACAAUUGGAGUCUAGAAGGAAGUCUGUGGAAAAGCUCUUCGGCAGAACUUUAAACUCACUGAAACACAAGCUGAAAUCAUGGCAAGCUGUACCACCAAGAAGCUGCAAAAGGUGAUCACAUGACCCCGGGACACAGCAAGCAUCAUAAAUAUGAACCAGUUGCCAAGCAUCUGGAAUUUUGAUCGGGUGACCAUGGGGAUGCUGCAACGGUUGUAAACAGCCGACAAUCCGGAACUGCCUCAAGAACAGAACGCGCGAACUCAGCCUGACAGUCCUUAAAUACCCGGCCUGCCAGACGGCCAACCAAUCAUCUAACAGAAUGUUACAGUGUAUAUCAACAGGGGGCCUCCCCACGGAGCAAGCUCAAUACAUUACACCCCUUCUCACCUGGACCGUGCAUGCGUAAUCCUGGAGAUACAUUGGAUGGUGCCGGAUUUGACAGAACACCGCGGACUGGACGUAACUAAUUGAUCCGGUGCAGCCUGAUCUCUAUUACCUCCUCGGACUGCCUGGAUUUCAUCGGCUGCUUCCUGGACCCCUGCUUGACAAGGAUAUUCCUCAACAA